GACGAACGCUGGCGGCGUGCCUAACACAUGCAAGUCGAGCGGAGAUACAUUGAAGAUUUAUCGGAUAUGUAUCUUAGCGGCGGACGGGUGAGUAACGCGUGGGUAACCUGCCUUAUACAGGGGGAUAACACAGGGAAACUUGUGCUAAUACCGCAUAAUAUCAUUGUAUGGCAUCAUGUGAUGAUCAAAGGAGCAAUCCGGUAUAAGAUGGACCCGCGUCCAAUUAGCUAGUUGGUGGUGUAACGGACCACCAAGGCGACGAUUGGUAGCCGAACUGAGAGGUUGAUCGGCCACAUUGGGACUGAGACACGGCCCAGACUCCUACGGGAGGCAGCAGUGGGGAAUAUUGCACAAUGGGGGAAACCCUGAUGCAGCAACGCCGCGUGAAGGAUGAAGGUUUUCGGAUCGUAAACUUCUUUGAUGAGGGACGAAAUAAUGACGGUACCUCAAGAACAAGCCACGGCUAACUACGUGCCAGCAGCCGCGGUUAAACACG
Molecule: ribosomal RNA, 496 nt
Filed under: uncultured bacterium
Lineage: Bacteria
Description: bacterial SSU rRNA
Rfam family: Bacterial small subunit ribosomal RNA
Source: RNAcentral